RNAcentral lists this ribosomal RNA (225 nucleotides) under Mustela putorius furo (domestic ferret). RNAcentral describes it as "partial 12S ribosomal RNA". Lineage: Eukaryota; Metazoa; Chordata; Mammalia; Carnivora; Mustelidae. The record is from RNAcentral.
CCAGCCACCGCGGUCAUACGAUUAGCCCGAAUCAAUAGGCAAACGGCGUAAAACGUGUUAAGGAUUAUAUUAUAUUAAAGUUAAAAUUUGACAAGGCUGUAAAAAGCUACUGUUAAUAUAAGAUAAACCACGAAAGUGACUUUAUUACUUCCAUCAACACGAUAGCUGAGACCCAAACUGGGAUUAGAUACCCCACUAUGCUCAGCCCUAAACAUAAAUAAUUAU